RNAcentral lists this ribosomal RNA (472 nucleotides) under uncultured bacterium. RNAcentral's name for it is "bacterial SSU rRNA". It matches the Rfam family "Bacterial small subunit ribosomal RNA", at positions 355 to 825 of the family's 1533-position model. The record is from RNAcentral.
UGGGGAAUAUUGCGCAAUGGGCGAAAGCCUGACGCAGCAACGCCGCGUGAGUGAUGAAGGCCUUCGGGUCGUAAAGCUCUGUCGGAGGGAACGAAUGCUCUUGAGGUUAACAGCCUCGGGAGGUGACGGUACCCUCAAAGGAAGCACCGGCUAACUCUGUGCCAGCAGCCGCGGUAAUACAGAGGGUACAAGCGUUGUUCGGAAUCAUUGGGCGUAAAGGGCGUGUAGGCGGUAUGUUAAGUCAUGUGUGAAAUCCCUCGGCUCAACCGGGGAACGACGCAUGAAACUAGCAAGCUAGAGUACCAAAGAGGGUGGUGGAAUUCCCGGUGUAGCGGUGAAAUGCGUAGAUAUCGAGAGGAACACCUGUGGCGAAGGCGGCCACCUGGUUGGAUACUGACGCUGAGACGCGAAAGCGUGGGGAGCAAACAGGAUUAGAUACCCCGGUAGCCCUGAGCGGGCUGGCAAGGCGCAU